MicroRNA precursor from Oryza sativa Indica Group (long-grained rice), 205 nucleotides. It matches the Rfam family "MIR812 microRNA precursor family". Lineage: Eukaryota; Viridiplantae; Streptophyta; Magnoliopsida; Poales; Poaceae. The record is from Rfam.
UUUAAGUGCAACGAUGAGUUUUCCGUGCCUAAUUUUGAUCGUCCGUCUUAUUUAAAAAAUAAUAAUAAUUAGUAUUUUUGUUGUUAUGAGAUGAUAAAACAUAAAUAGUAUUUUACUCGUGACUUAUGUUUUUAAAUUUUUUCAAACUUUUUUUAAAAAAACGGACGAUCAAAGUUGGACGCGGAAAACCAUGGCUGCACUUAAA